GAGUUUUCAUCUCUUCAAGUUUUGUUGGAUCUCAUCCUGAUGAAAGAGGAAGAUCAAAAGUUUUCAGUCACAGUGUCACCCCAAAAGGCUCUAUGAAGGAAGUUCGAUAUCAAAGAAGAUUCUUCGAAAGGGAUAACGAGGGCUUGCCUAACCGUUUUAGAUCAAAAAAUCAAAAAAAUCAAAAAACAAAGAAGAAAAAGAAAAAUCAAAAUCAAUGUCAAAAUGAAAAUGAGAGAAAAAGAAAGAAGAACGAAAAAGAGAAAAAUCUAGAUGAAAAAAAUAAAAAUAAAAAAUGAGAAAAAGAAAAGAAAAGGAGAG
Molecule: long non-coding RNA, 318 nt
Filed under: Gossypium raimondii (Peruvian cotton)
Lineage: Eukaryota; Viridiplantae; Streptophyta; Magnoliopsida; Malvales; Malvaceae
Description: long non-coding RNA (GRAI_LNC001404)
Source: RNAcentral